UUGGAGGGCAAGUCUGGUGCCAGCAGCCGCGGUAAUUCCAGCUCCAAUAGCGUAUAUUAAAGUUGUUGCAGUUAAAAAGCUCGUAGUUGAAUUUCGGGGUCAGUAGGUUGGUCAUGCCACUGGUAUGUACUGGUCUCACUGAUUCCUCCUUCCUGAUGAGCCGUAAUGCCAUUAAUUUGGUGUUGCGAGGAAUCUGGACUGUUACUUUGAAAAAAUUAGAGUGUUUAAAGCAAGCUAACGCUUGAAUACAUUAGCAUGGAAUAAUGAAAUAGGACGUUCGAUCCUAUUUUGUUGGUUUCUAGGAUUGACGUAAUGAUUAAUAGGGAUAGUUGGGGGCAUUAGUAUUCAAUUGUCAGAGGUGAGAUUCUUGGAUUUAUUGAAGACUAACUACUGCGAAAGCAUUUGCCAAGGAUGUUUUCAUUAAUCAAGAACGAAAGUUAGGGGAUCGAAGACGAUCAGAUACCGUCGUAGUCUUAACCAUAAACUAUGCCGACUAGGGAUCGGAUGAUGUUAAUUUUUUAAUGACUCAUUCGGCGCCUUACGGGAAACCAAAGUGUUUGGGUU
Molecule: ribosomal RNA, 564 nt
Filed under: Glomeromycotina sp.
Lineage: Eukaryota; Fungi; Glomeromycota
Description: SSU rRNA
Rfam family: Eukaryotic small subunit ribosomal RNA
Source: RNAcentral